ACUCCAUGRAGUCGGAAUCGCUAGUAAAUCGUAGAUCAGAAUGCUACGGUGAAUACGUUCCCGGGCCUUGUACACACCGCCCGUCACACCAUGGGAGUGGGUUGCAAAAGAAGUAGGUAGCUUAACCUUCGGGAGGGCGCUUACCACUUUGUGAUUCAUGACUGGGGUGAAGUCGUAACAAGGUAACCGUAGGGGAACCUGCGGUUGGAUCACCUCCUUACCUUAAAGAA
This 230-nucleotide ribosomal RNA is filed under the name Klebsiella pneumoniae. RNAcentral describes it as "partial 16S ribosomal RNA". It matches the Rfam family "Bacterial small subunit ribosomal RNA", at positions 1315 to 1533 of the family's 1533-position model. The record is from RNAcentral. Lineage: Bacteria; Pseudomonadati; Pseudomonadota; Gammaproteobacteria; Enterobacterales; Enterobacteriaceae.